AUGGACGCCGCGGAGAGCAACGACACCACCAAGCUGCAGACCCCGCUGCUGCUGCCGACACCGCCGCCGCCGAUGGCCGGCAGUGACGGCGGGGAGCGGCGGCUGGAGAGCAUCCUGGGCGACGGGUCGGCUCCGUGGGCGAGGAGGAUGUGCGCGGCGACGGCGGUGGAGCUGCCGAUGCUGGCGCGGCUGGCGGCGCCGGCCGUGCUGGUGUACAUGAUCAACUACCUCAUGUCCAUGUCGACGCAGAUCUUCGCCGGCCACCUCGGCACGCUCGAGCUCGCCGCCGCCUCCCUCGGCAACACCGGCGUCCAGAUGUUCGCCUACGGCCUCAUGCUUGGUAUGGGGAGCGCGGUGGAGACAUUGUGCGGGCAGGCAUACGGCGCGAGCAAAUUUGACAUGUUGGGCAUCUACAUGCAACGCUCCACAGUCUUGCUCAUGGCGACCGGCAUCCCGCUCGCCGCCCUCUACGCCUUCUCCCGGCCCAUCCUUAUCCUGCUCGGCGAGUCACCGGAGAUCGCCCGCGCCGCGGGCAUCUUCGUGUACGGCCUCAUCCCGCAGAUCUUCGCCUAUGCGGUCAACUUCCCCAUCCAGAAGUUCAUGCAGGCGCAAAGCAUCAUGGCCCCGAGCGCCUACAUCUCCGCCGUGACGCUCGUCGUCCACGUCGUCCUUAGCUACCUCGCCGUCUACAAGUUUGGUCUGGGGAUCUUGGGUGCCUCCCUCAUUCUUAGCGCCAGCUGGUGGAUCAUCGUCAUCGCGCAGUUCAUCUACGUUGUCACCAGCAGCCGGUGCCAGCUCACGUGGACUGGGUUCUCCGUGAGGGCCUUCUCUGGCCUGCCCCAGUUUUUUCGGUUGUCCAUUGCCUCCGCCGUCAUGCUCUGUCUCGAGGCUUGGUACUUCCAGAUACUCGUGCUCAUUGCUGGCCUCCUCAAGAACCCUGAAUUGUCGCUUGCAUCGCUCUCCAUCUGCAUGACCAUUUCAGGGUGGGCAAUCAUGAUUUCUUUUGGAUUCAACGCAGCAGCCAGCGUGAGGGUCAGCAAUGAGCUUGGAGCUGGAAACCCCAAGUCAGCAGCAUUCUCAGUGGUGGUAGGGACGAUGGUGUCCUUCACCUUGUCACUGAUAAUCUCGGUGGUCAUCCUGCUCUGUCGUGACUAUAUCAGUUACAUCUAUGCUGACGGGGAGGACGUGGCAGCGGAGGUGUCCAAGCUGACGCCGCUGCUGGCACUAACCGUCAUCCUCAAUGGUAUCCAACCCGUACUAUCAGGGAUGGCCGUGGGAUGCGGUUGGCAAGCGUUCGUCGCCUACGUUAACGUGGGAUGCUACUAUGUCGUCGGCGUCCCCUUGGGUUGCCUCCUUGGCUUCUACUUCGACCUCGGCGCGGCGGGCAUAUGGUGUGGUAUGAUUGGAGGUACUUUCAUGCAGACCGUCAUCCUAGUGUGGGUUACCAUCAGGACAAAUUGGGACAGCGAGGUGGCCGAAGCAAUGAAAAGAUUACACAAGUGGGAAGACAAGAAACCUCUAUUAGCUGUCGAGGAAUGA
Molecule: ribosomal RNA, 1539 nt
Filed under: Triticum aestivum (bread wheat)
Lineage: Eukaryota; Viridiplantae; Streptophyta; Magnoliopsida; Poales; Poaceae
Description: partial small subunit ribosomal RNA
Source: RNAcentral